Molecule: ribosomal RNA, 228 nt
Filed under: uncultured bacterium
Lineage: Bacteria
Description: partial 16S ribosomal RNA
Rfam family: Bacterial small subunit ribosomal RNA
Source: RNAcentral
UACGGAGGGUGCGAGCGUUAAUCGGAAUUACUGGGCGUAAAGAGCACGUAGGUGGUUUGGUAAGUCGGAUGUGAAAGCCCCGGGCUUAACCUGGGAAUUGCAUUCGAAACUGCCUCACUAGAGUCUAGCAGAGGGAUGCGGAAUUCCGGGUGUAGCGGUGAAAUGCGUAGAGAUCCGGAGGAACAUCAGUGGCGAAGGCGGCAUCCUGGCUCAAGACUAGACUGACAU